Molecule: long non-coding RNA, 1397 nt
Filed under: Equus asinus (donkey)
Lineage: Eukaryota; Metazoa; Chordata; Mammalia; Perissodactyla; Equidae
Description: lncRNA (ENSEASG00005037450.1)
Source: RNAcentral
UGUCAGUGGAGGCAGCGGCGGUAGAGGCGGUGGCGACGACUUGCGGCGGCGGCGAGGAGACAGAGAAACUGAUGCACGGAGCCCUAAGACGCGUCGCGCCAGGUCCCUGAGGGUUCGAACCCUAGUGUGUCAAGAAUCGGGAGCCCGAGUUUUCUCCAACGUAGUGGAAGUUGCUCAGCUCUGAAGAAAGCCGCGGCGUACAGUAGCUGACUUCUGAGAGCCGACGGACGCUGAGGGUAAGUCCUGUGCCUGAGUCCAGGUUGGGGGAUGUGUGUGGGUCUCCUUCAGGAGCAGCUGUAGGUGUUAGCAAUGCUCAUAGGUCAGUUCUCAAGCUCAAUGAAUAAAACAGGCCGAGCUCUGAAGCAGUCUUUGUCGGUUCCCAGUCUCUCUUGGUUUUCUUGGUUUUCACAGGAAAGUGACAUCUGGCCCCCUGCUGGCCCCAGUUGGCAGCUGGGCAGCCCCAGCAGGAGGCCUUACUUCUGGAAAGGUGUGAUGUGGGACGCUGGUCAGGGGAAGGGUGGUGAGGCUCCUCAGGACCACGGGGACCGGGCGGCCUCUGAGAAGACGCUUUGAGUCCACGCGGAGAGCAGGCACUGGGCAGUGAGGGACUUGGGAAGCGUGCCGCUGGGCGCGGGAGGUGGCUCUGUCAGCUGGCUGUAAAAACCCUUGACACGUGUUUCCAGAGAAUGACACUCAGCCUUUGGGAGUCACAGGGACAAAGGCAUGAAGGUGGAAUUGUCCCUUCUUCCUCCCACACGUGCUCCGGCAGUCCUGCCCUGUAUAACCUACUGCUUUUAAGGUUUCCCCUCACACAGUUUCCUCUGAUUGCAUUGAUGUGGCUGCAUCUCCUGAGCCUCAAUUCUAAAGCCCUCUGCGCCGGGAUCCACCUGCUGGUCCAGUCCUGUUUCCGGCUGCUGGCCCGCGUGAGCGUGACAGCCAGGCAUGAUCCUCUCUCUCCAGCUAGCGUUCCACCUGCAUUUCAGAGGCUGUUAAUGCUCUUCCUUUCAUCCAAAGGCAGGCCAGCUGCUAGCGCCGUUUCACAGCCAGGUGCCCUGGGGCCUCUGUGGCUCAGGGACGCCUUAACCCCAGAGCUCAUGUUCAGUGCUCAGAGUGGGAUCCCUCUGUUCAGGGAUUUGUCUUGGAUUUCCAUCCAACGUGUAGGAAUUUUUCUCAGGUGACCCUUGAUGACCCAGGAGUUAUUGUCUUUUCUGAGAUUUUUCUCCUCUUGUCUCUUGGCCCGGGUCUUGGGCCGGCAGUGGCCAUUUACCACGCUGCGAUUAAGUUUGCUUGGAAAAGCUGGCAGAGUGAAGGCAGAUGGGUCUGGGGUGGAAAUGGCUUGGACCUUUCCUGUGCUCCACCCUCCACAAAGUUUCCACCGCGCUGCUCUCUGCUUACCC